Molecule: RNA transcript, 1230 nt
Organism: Magnolia sinica
Lineage: Eukaryota; Viridiplantae; Streptophyta; Magnoliopsida; Magnoliales; Magnoliaceae
Gene name: protein GET1
Exons: 8
Source: RefSeq, a predicted model, not a curated record
UUCCCAACAACGAACCCGAUCCGGCACAUGUGCAAAGAGUCGGCCACUCGUGCGGUUCCCGACAGAAGGCGCGAGUCGACGCACCGGCGCAAGAUAGAACGGAACCUCCGUUCUCUUCGCCGCAAUCCCACAGCACCACACUAUUUCGGAUUUUCCCUCUUUAAAACGCAAUCGCCUGGCAUCCAAACGCCAUUCCAGAUCUCAAUCCAUUCAUUCCAUUUCGCUAUCCAUUCCCGUAUAGCCGAUGGAAGGAACCCUAGAAAACAACGCUUCUAGUAAUUCUCCUUCUCUCGCGGCUCCUCUGAUCUUGCUUUUCGUCUUCGCUCUGGAACUCAUCUCGAUGUUUCUCGAACGCCACAAUAAGAGAGGGUUGAAGAGUGCUGAAGAAGUGAAGUUGCAACAGGAAAUAAAGGAACUUUUGAAAGAAGCGAGCUCCUUAUCUACGCCAUCGACAUUUGCUCAAGCUGCAAAACUUAGAAGGGCGGCAGCAGCCAAGGAGAAGGAGCUUUUAAAAAUACAGGAGUCGCACAAUAAGGGAAAAAAAGGGUCCAAUGAUCUGUAUUUGCAAGCCCUGGGGAGUUUGAAGGUAGUGACAUAUCUUGGUCUCACCUGGUGGUUUUGGGGUGUUCCUCUCGCUGCCAUUCCUCAGCAACUUCUGCAACCUUUUGGGAAGGCAUUGUCAUGGAGAGCUGGAGAAUCUAUACCAGGCUAUGUCAUGAUUGGAGUUAUACCUUGGUUAGUAUUGACGGCACGAGUGAGCAAGUUCCUUUGUCAGAGGCUACCAAAAUCCCUGCAUUUCUUCCACUCAUAGACCUUGGAGAUCUAUGAACUGCAUUAGUAAUCAGUAAUCGGCGACAUACCUAUUAGCCAUAGAUGGGAGAGUGUGAUAGAUGAUGCCCGGGCACUUGGAAAUUACUUAAGAAAUUGCAUUUGCGCCCUUCAUCAGGUAGGCCCUGCGGAUUUGCCAGUAAUUGAGUCAAGAAUGCUGCUAUUUUCAGUCAUUGCGUCAUCCUGUUCAUCCACGAGAUCUGGAGAGUUUGUGCUUUUAUUCUUUUGGACUCAUCUUUUCUAGGUCCUGGUUUACAUAUAAGAAUUGCAUCACAGCCGUCCAAUUUUAACCUUUAUUUGUUCAUUAUCUACUGUGGGCGGCAGGUCUUCUAUCCUGUCCAUUUGCGAGCUAAUUGAUCAGAUGACUCAUCAAUAGAUGUGUGAUAGUGGGAUUAGGUACUA